GUGGCGGUACUAUGCCACGUGUAAAAGCGAGGCCAUGUGGACCCUUCCUUGUCUUUAAGGGGUCUAUCUCAAGCAAGAGAAGUAAUUUGUGUUUUGUUCUUUUGCGUUGAGAGAGAGAGAGAGAGAGAGAGCACCGAUGGCGAAUGAGUACGAGGUGGUGAAUACUGUUUCUCUCGAGAUGCAUCACGAUGCGGCUGAAUCUCAGAGCGACUCGUCGACUCUCUCGAACUCGUUCGAGUCCGGCCUCACGGUUGGCGAUGCCGAUUCGAAGAAGCUGGAUGAGUGUGGUGGAUGGACGAAUGAGAAACACAACUUGUAUCUUGAUUCUUUGGAGAACUCUUUUGUUAAGCAGUUGUAUUCCUUGCUUGGAGUGGGAGGAGAGACUCAGAGGCUGAGUAGAACUCGUGGUGUGCAGUCUAACUCUCACAAAUUGACUGAUCAGUUUACGGUACUACAAAAUGGUUACCGGCAGAAAGUUAGCUUUGGGAAAAAACGAGCUCAUUUGGAGACGAUGGGAACUGAUAAAGGUUUUACUAGAACAUCCAUGAGAACUUCUUUGGUGCAUCAGUAUCCAGCUCAAAGCACUGCAGAAGGCUUUUGCUGCAGAAACAUAAGAGUUGAUAUGACCUGUGGGGGAUCAAAGAAAUGAUUGUUGCUACGAAAGACAUAGGCGUCAGGGCAGAAUUUCAGAGAAGAAGUGGAAGAGAAGGGAUGUGACUCAGAAGUGUCCAGGAAACGCAGAAGAGGAGCUAAUUAUGAUGAUAGUUCAUUGAAUGAUCAGGUUGUGCCGUAACGAUGGUGAAGCCCCAGAGAAAGUGAAACAAUGAUAUAAAGCAAUAGGAAAUGAAGUGUAGAUUAAUUACUAUGAAUAGAGAAAAAAAAUAGGAAGCAUGCGAGUGGAAAAUGAAGGGUUUUGUUUGUUGUAAAGUAUGAUGAGGCUAAAGACAGCCUUGUCGAAUGGGAAUGAAAUUAGUAUUUUGAUAUAUUAUCAUCAUUUCUUCCAUUGCUUUUCAAUCUUUAAUUCGUUCUAUUAAUUUUUUUUUUUUCAUUUUCUAGAACAAUGUUUUUGUCGUGAAUUUAUAAAUUCUUUCAAUAGUUGUGUGUU
This is an RNA transcript of Brassica napus (rape), 1105 nucleotides long. It is a transcript of the gene named cold-regulated protein 28, with no coding region annotated. The record is from RefSeq and is a predicted model, not a curated record. The transcript has 6 exons. NCBI's taxonomy places the organism in Eukaryota, Viridiplantae, Streptophyta, Magnoliopsida, Brassicales, Brassicaceae.